AUGGAGGCAGAGGUUGCAGUGAUGCAGCCACAAGCCAAGGGAUGCCUGGAGCCACCAAAAGUUGGAAAAAGGAAGGAAGUAUUCUCCUCUGCAGGCUUCAGAGGGAGCACAGCUGCUGACGGCUUAAUUUCUGACUCUGCAUCCAGAACUGAGAAACAACAAAUUUCUGUUCUUGGGAGCUACCUACUUUGUGAGGAUUUGUUACGGCUGCCCCCAGGAAACUACACCUCUACUCAUGUUGAAGAUUUUUGCAUUCCCAGUAAUACAGUGAUUCUACUUUUAGGGUGGUGAGUCUUUGAUCCAGUCUGAGAAAGCUGCACUCGGUGACGACAAACCAGCUCCAGCCUCUCUCUCUCGGUGACUCUGCGAUGCUAAAAAUAAAUAAAUUUAACAGACGCCUUCAAGGGACCAUCAACCCAGCCGCACACUGAGUCGGCACGAGUGCAUGCCAGGCAACGCGCUCAGCUCUCCGGGGCUGCGUCACCAGCUGCAUUGCGACUCCCGCACUUUCAUAUGCUGCAGCCCUCGCCCCCGGCACCUCACAAUGGGACUGCAUUUGGCAGUAGGGUCUUGAAGAGAUGGAUGGGUAAAAUGGAGCCAUAGGGGUGGCCCUCAUCCAAUAGGACCCGUGUCCUUAUAGGAAGAGGAGGUCAGGACACAGACACACACAGGGACGGCCGGGAGGGGACACAGGCAGAGGACAGCGUCCAGAAGCCCAGGAGAGGAGCCUCGGGAGGAACCAGCCCUGCCCACACCUUGGUCUUAGACUUCCGGCCUCCAGAACUGCAAGGAAGUGAGUUUCUGUGGUUUAAGCCACCCAGCCUGCAGAAUUUUGUUAUGGAAGGUUGUAACAAAGUCUUUCUGAAAAAUACAAGCAUUUCAAGCAGAGGCCCUUCACAGCCUGUUACACAACCACUCAAAGUGCACCCUUGUCUUUUGCAAUUUCUCUUGGAAUUGGCUAUGUCACUGGCACUCGCGCCUAGGCCGUCCCGAGGGGUCAGCCCUGGGCACUGUCUCCCUUUCCGGGUGUGGGAACUGGCUGCCGGCGUGGGAACGGCUGCUUGUCCCAGUGGUGCCCACCUGUGGCCACACUGCAAGGCCACCCAGGCCUAGAGAUGUCACUGAGGACUGACCCGGAGACGCCGACCUCAGGGUCCUGGGAGGCUGCGCACUGGCCAUGUUGGAGGUGACCCUCAUGUCACCCAGGUCAAGAGCCACGGGCCCUACACGUCCUCUCCUUCCCUGUCUCCCAGCCGUGGGCCCAGACUGGAUGGCUUUGGCUAAGGAAUCAAUGCAGGUGGAGAAGGAGGCUGACGAUGGAGCCCGGGUGCUCCAGCCUUGAGUGAACAGAGGAGGAACCGACCCUGAGCCUGCACAGCAGCCACGCGGGGGUGCUUUGCG
Molecule: long non-coding RNA, 1401 nt
Filed under: Macaca mulatta (Rhesus monkey)
Lineage: Eukaryota; Metazoa; Chordata; Mammalia; Primates; Cercopithecidae
Description: lncRNA (ENSMMUG00000055246.1)
Source: RNAcentral